GGUGUAGCGCAGUUGGUAGCGCGCCUGCUUUGGGAGCAGGAUGCCGGGGGUUCGAAUCCCUUCACU
RNAcentral lists this transfer RNA (66 nucleotides) under uncultured Clostridium sp. It matches the Rfam family "tRNA", at positions 5 to 66 of the family's 71-position model. From Rfam's summary of the family: Transfer RNA (tRNA) molecules are approximately 80 nucleotides in length. Their secondary structure includes four short double-helical elements and three loops (D, anti-codon, and T loops). The record is from RNAcentral. Lineage: Bacteria; Bacillati; Bacillota; Clostridia; Eubacteriales; Clostridiaceae.